This 800-nucleotide ribosomal RNA is filed under the name uncultured bacterium. Its description in RNAcentral is "bacterial SSU rRNA". It matches the Rfam family "Bacterial small subunit ribosomal RNA", at positions 8 to 810 of the family's 1533-position model. The record is from RNAcentral.
AGAGUUUGAUCAUGGCUCAGGAUGAACGCUGGCGGCGUGCUUAACACAUGCAAGUCGAACGGAGCGCCCCGGAACGAUUCUCCGGAAGAGGGAAAGGGUGACUUAGUGGCGGACGGGUGAGUAACGCGUGGGUAACCUGCCCUGCACAGGGGGAUAACAGUUGGAAACGACCGCUAAUACCGCAUAAGCCGACGAAGCCGCAUGGCUUAGCCGGAAAAGAAAUAUCGGUGCAGGAUGGACCCGCGUCUGAUUAGCCAGUUGGCAGGGUAACGGCCUACCAAAGCGACGAUCAGUAGCCGGCCUGAGAGGGUGAACGGCCACAUUGGGACUGAGACACGGCCCAAACUCCUACGGGAGGCAGCAGUGGGGAAUAUUGCACAAUGGGGGGAACCCUGAUGCAGCGACGCCGCGUGGGUGAAGAAGUAUUUCGGUAUGUAAAGCCCUAUCAGCAGGGAAGAAGAUGACGGUACCUGACUAAGAAGCCCCGGCUAACUACGUGCCAGCAGCCGCGGUAAUACGUAGGGGGCAAGCGUUAUCCGGAUUUACUGGGUGUAAAGGGAGCGUAGACGGCAUUGCAAGUCAGAAGUGAAAGCUCGGGGCCCAACCCCGGAACUGCUUUUGAAACUGCGGAGCUGGAGUACUGGAGAGGUAAGCGGAAUUCCUGGUGUAGCGGUGAAAUGCGUAGAUAUCAGAGGAACACCAGUGGCGAAAGCGGCUUACUGGACAGAAACUGACGUUGAGGCUCGAAAGCGUGGGGAGCAAACAGGAUUAGAUACCCUGGUAGUCCACGCCGUAACGAU